ACGGGUGAGUAACACGUGGGCAAUCUGCCCUGCACUCUGGGACAAGCCCUGGAAACGGGGUCUAAUACCGGAUACGAGUUUCACAGGCAUCUGUGAUUCUGGAAAGCUCCGGCGGUGCAGGAUGAGCCCGCGGCCUAUCAGCUUGUUGGUGAGGUAACGGCUCACCAAGGCGACGACGGGUAGCCGGCCUGAGAGGGCGACCGGCCACACUGGGACUGAGACACGGCCCAGACUCCUACGGGAGGCAGCAGUGGGGAAUAUUGCACAAUGGGCGAAAGCCUGAUGCAGCGACGCCGCGUGAGGGAUGACGGCCUUCGGGUUGUAAACCUCUUUCAGCAGGGAAGAAGCGAGAGUGACGGUACCUGCAGAAGAAGCGCCGGCUAACUACGUGCCAGCAGCCGCGGUAAUACGUAGGGCGCAAGCGUUGUCCGGAAUUAUUGGGCGUAAAGAGCUCGUAGGCGGCUUGUCGCGUCGGUUGUGAAAGCCCGGGGCUUAACCCCGGGUCUGCAGUCGAUACGGGNCAGGCUAGAGUUCGGUAGGGGAGAUCGGAAUUCCU
This 556-nucleotide ribosomal RNA is filed under the name Streptomyces sp. 431A04. Its description in RNAcentral is "bacterial SSU rRNA". It matches the Rfam family "Bacterial small subunit ribosomal RNA", at positions 102 to 671 of the family's 1533-position model. The record is from RNAcentral. Lineage: Bacteria; Bacillati; Actinomycetota; Actinomycetes; Kitasatosporales; Streptomycetaceae.